This 157-nucleotide small RNA is filed under the name Macaca fascicularis (crab-eating macaque). RNAcentral describes it as "Metazoan signal recognition particle RNA (ENSMFAG00000049465.1)". It matches the Rfam family "Metazoan signal recognition particle RNA", at positions 96 to 252 of the family's 299-position model. Rfam says of the family: The signal recognition particle (SRP) is a universally conserved ribonucleoprotein. It is involved in the co-translational targeting of proteins to membranes. Lineage: Eukaryota; Metazoa; Chordata; Mammalia; Primates; Cercopithecidae. The record is from Rfam by way of RNAcentral.
UGCCGACCGGGUGCCUGCACUAAGUUCGGCAUCAAUAUGGUGACCUCCUGGGAGCGGGGGGCCACCAAGUUGCCUAAGGAUGGCUGAACUGGCCCAGGUCAGAAACGGAGCAGGUCAGAACUCCCGCACUGACCAGUAGUGGGACUGUGCCUGGGCG